This is a long non-coding RNA of Musa acuminata AAA Group (dessert banana), 5763 nucleotides long. RefSeq lists it as uncharacterized. NCBI's taxonomy places the organism in Eukaryota, Viridiplantae, Streptophyta, Magnoliopsida, Zingiberales, Musaceae. The transcript is spliced from 2 exons. The record is from RefSeq and is a predicted model, not a curated record.
GAUGACUUUUUGUUUUUGAAGUUAGAUAUAACCUAUGGAAUCCAAUGAUAAUUAGUUCUUUUAGUUGUUGGUAAAGGAAGUCAUAGAACCUUAUAGCACUUGUGUUGUUUCUAAAGGUAGAUAAACCUAUCGAUCUAAUGAUAAUUAAUUCUUUUUAGUUGUUGGUAAGUAAAGUCAUAGAAACUUAUAGCACAUGAGUUUUGUCUUUAAAGGUAGAUAAACCUGUAGAAUCUAAUCUUCUUUUAGUUGCUGGUGAAUAAACUAAUAGAAACUUAUAGCACAUGAGUUUUGCUCUCAAAGGAAGAUAAACCUGUAGAAUCUAAUCUUCUUUUAGUUGCUGGUGAAUAAACUAAUAGAAACUUAUAGCACAUGAGUUUUGCUCUCAAAGAAAGAUAAACCUAUGGAAUCUAAUGAUAAUUAGUUCUUUUUGUUGUUGGUAAAUAAACUAAUAGAAACUUAUAGCACAUGAGUUUUGUUUUUAAUAUAUAAACCUAUAGAAUCUAAUGAUAAUUAGUUCCUUUUAGUUGUUGGUAAAUGAAGUAGAAACUUAUAGCACGAGUUUCGGUUUUAAAGGUAGAUAAACCUAUAGAAUCUAACGAAUGAUAAUUAGUUCUUUUCAGUUGUUGGUAAGUGAAGUCAUAGAAACUUAUAGCACUGGAGUUUUGUUUUUAAAGGUAGACAAACCUAUAGAAUCUAAUGAAUGAUCAUUAGUUUGUUUCAGUAGUUUGGUAAAUAAAUCAUAGAAAUUUAUAGCACCUGUGUUUUGUUUUUAAAGGUAGAUAAACCUAUAGAAUCUAAUGACAAUUAGUUUGUUUUAGAUGUUGGUAAAUGAAGUCAUAGAAUCUUAUAGCGCAUGAGUUUUGUUUUCAAAGGUAGAUAAAACUUUUAGUUGUUGGUAAAUAAAGUCAUAGAACCUUAUAGCACAUAAGUUUUGUUUUAAAAGGUAUAUAAACCUGUAGAAUCUAUUGAUUUCCAGGCCAUUCAUGAUUGAAGUUAUCUUCUUGUUUGCGACUCGGUUAUAUGGGAAAGUUCAAUAUCUUAAGACUCCUAAGUAGGACAUGCGUCUCAAAAUUUUAUCAAAUUGGAUCUGUUUGGGCUAGUAGAUCUCUCUUUCUCUCUCUAUCUAUCUAUCUCUAAGGCCACUUUUUUUUAUGUGCGAGAAGAAUUAGGAUUUCUGAUUCUAGGUGAGUUGGAAUCUUGAAGACCAGAUUGGAUACCUCUUAUGACAUCAGUUCUUGUUUCCAGUAUUUAGCCAUCUGGUAAGGCAGAACCUGUAUUAGCCACGGUUUACUGUCGAUGCUACUGCACAUACUUUGUCCUUUAUAUGCUUAACUCUACCGCAUUUUAGGAAACCGUGUUUGAGCAUACUGGCAAUACUCGUUUUAUGUUUGAUGUAGUGCAAAAUAAAAUAGAAAACAACCCUCUUUUUAGAUGAAUCUCCUUUAUAAUGAUCAUAAUUCUCCAUAAUAUGAUAUAUGAUAAUAUCUCAUAUUUCUUGAUACACGGUACCAAUAUUCUGCAUCUGCAGGAACCGGAAAUUGACAAGGGGUUGGGUUUGACACGUAGAUAAUCCGACGUCCCGUCCCGUCCAUCACUGAUUUGAUGACUCGAGUCUAACUAGGCAGCUAACCUCUGGUGAAGCGUGCUUUAUAAACACGUCCCUUCGGUUCGCCGAGAAGCCAUCCCACCUCUCGUAGAGUAAGUCAUGUCUUAAAAGUGCGUUACGAAUCUCCUCCGUUGGCGACCGCACCGAGGGGCAAAAGGCCUCGUCGUCUCCCAGUCCGGGGGCAGUCUCGUCAAUUCGUAAUAACAGUCACCGACGCGUUUCGGCACUUCAUUGGCCAAGUCUAUCAGGGACGGUCCUCGGUACCGGACACGUGAUCACCUCCGGGUUUGAGCAGGACUCCCGAUUGCGUUAUCCACGUUGACCCACUUCUCUCGCCUAAUUGUAGGUUCCGGGGCCCAUCAGAAUCAUCGAGUAAAUCGCACCAGCCCGUGUGAGUUAAGUACAUGGCUGAUUAGAUGAUUGACCAAUGUACUUAGCUGUUUUGGGUAGUAGAGAAGAACAUGAGUGAGAGACACGUACGGUAAUCACCCAUAGAAUGUGUUUUAUCCUUCUUUAAUUAAUCCCUUAAAAAGAGAACACUUACCCACAAAUGUCGUCAUUUAUUACCAAUUGCUUUCUGUUAUAAAUAUAAUACGUUUAUUUAAGGUGGACCCACGUUAGAGGCGUCGUCCCACAGCUUUGUCCAAUAACAAGGCAGCAGGCGUUAGGAUAAGUCCUUGUACGGUUUUAAAUAAAGAAUAAAAAAAAAAGAAAAGAAAUGGAGGGGUUUGUUCUUACCGUCGCCGCUUCUUUGGUCGAACGGGUGGUGACGAGCAGAGUGGGACGCAUACGGAGUUAGCCACAUUCCUCUCCCGCUUUUGAGCUGUUGGUGUUCGUCGCCUCCAGAAGCUUCUCGGCACUCUCGAUCGUUCCGACCCACUUGUUUAUCCUUCGUCUUCCUCACUCCCGAUCGUUAGGCUCCGUUCAUGCUUCCUUCGUCGUCUCCAUCGAUCUUGAUCCAGAUGGUUUCUUCCGUUCCUUCUCUCUCUCUCUCUCUCUCUCUCUCUCUCUCUCUCUCUCUCUCGUCUUUGGAUUUCGUUCGCCUCGUUCCGAUCGGGGAAGAUUGCUCAUGCUAAAGAAGAGAAAGAGAUCAAACUGUUUCGUUCUUGAUUCUUGUUAGUGUUUUCUUGAUCUCCUUUUCUUGGGCAUGUGUGGAUUUUGGGUUGCGAGCUCGAGUCUUCUCCUGAUAUGCAUCUUGUUGUGUCUCGUUGAUAGUGGAUUCCCUGAUUCUUUUUGUUUUCUGUUCCCUUUCCGAUUCUUAGUUCCUCGUUUUUGUUGUUGCGUUCUUGAUCUGUCGACAAUUCUUCUUCCUGAUACCUCUCCUUUUUCUUCCUUAUUUCGAAUCCUAUCGCUGCCACGAACCCAAAAAAAAUCGUGCUGUCAUUGUUUCUUGCUUCUAUUGUUCUUGGGAUUUUGUGGAUUUUGGGUUGCUCGAUAGAGUCUUCCUUGUGUUGAUGAUUCGUUUGGGUCUUGUUUUCGCUGGUGAUGAUCUAUCUCUGAUCCUUUUUCUCUUUUUCUUAUUUCGAAUUUCUAUGCUUUGUUGUUUUUGGUUCUCGAAGAAGCGUGAUGUUUGGUUGUACGAGGGUUUGCAAGAUUCGAACUAUUUGAAGCGGAUGGAUCUUUGUCGAGGUGGGGUGGUUUGCGACUUCUCUUUCUUUCUUCUUCCUUGUGUUAUGAUUUAUGAUCAUCAGACCAAUCAAAUGUAAGGUACAUAUUUGUGGAUUUGUCUGGUGAUCGUAAUGUUGAUAUGGGCUUGGCAGAUAAUGGGGUCGGUUUGUUUGCAUGAGCGUGGUUUGGUUGACAAUGAGAGAGAGCACGCGGGUCCAUGACCCUUGCCAGCUUCCAUGGUUGUGUACUAGCGUGCUCCUUCUGGUUGUCAACCCAAGAUCACCAUUCUAAGUUUCUCCUCCUCCUUGCCCGUGGAGUUCUUGACCCGAUACGUAUAUAUAUUUAUGGUUGCUUCAUCCUUUACAUAUUCUUAAAUCGAUUCUCUGCUCUUUCUUUUGGUCUAUUUAGUUGUGUUUAAUCACUUAAUCAUACUGUGUUGAGCUAAGGAAUUUUAAGUUGGGGUAAACAUUGAAAUCUAUUCGACGACCUAUUUCAUUGUUGAUGCAUGAUGAGUCUUGAGUUACUUUGUAAGGAUUGAUUGGAACAACAGGGAUCAUUUUGGCCACAAUAUAUUUACAUGCUAGUAAUUUUGUAUUUGUAUGUCUUCCACUUUCAGGCAUAAUCUCAUCAACGAUGGUAUGCUGCUUAUUAAUGUGUUCUUCCUUUCUUCUUGUUGGUUUAUUAUUUCUAUCAUGGGUACUCAAACGACUCAGAAAUUACAUACUCUAUUGAUUGGAACAACAGAGAUCAUUUUGGCCACAAUGACAUGCUAGUAAUUUUGUAUUUGUAUUUGUCUUCCACUAUCAGGCAUGGUAUGCUACUUAUUGAUGUGUUCUUCCCUUCUUCUUGUUGGUUUAUUAUUUCUAUCAUGGGUAUUGAAACAACUGAGAAAUUACAUACUCUAUUGAUCGGAACAACAGGGACUAUUUUGGCCACAGGAUAUAUAUUGCUUUACAUACUAGCAAUUUUGUACUUGUAUUUGUCUUCCACUUUCAGGUUUAAUCUAAACAAUGAUGGUAUGCUAUGUAUUCUUCGUUUCUACCUGUUGAUUUAUUAAUUCUUUCAUUUGUCAUGGGUGCUCAAAGAAUCGAGAAUGAUAUCCUCUACUGUCUCAUAAAAAAUGCCUAGCUUCGGUUGAGGAUUAUUUGUCAUUUUGGCUCGAUGCGUUUUUGCUGUAUAUUAAUUAGAUAAGAUCUAGAUAUAGCCCAUUCUUCCUCUAGAAUAGAUGCCUUAGGCAGUUGGAGUGUAGUGGCCAAACAAACACUCCAUCUCAUAAUACCAUUAAGAUGAUUUAUUUUAAAUGAUUCAAGACCAGCAAUGGAAAAGCAAAAGAAGUUGAUACUUUUUCUAUCUGUAUUAUUAAACAGUUGUCUUGUAUGAGCAUAUAAAAGAAAAAGAUGAAUGACAAGGAAAGCAAGAUAAUGCCCUUGUAGAGGAAGUAAGGCUAACAAGGCAACAUUGUUGCUGAGCUUGGGUAUCCAUGCUCGAUAUUACAGCCAGUGUUGUCCCGCAGAUGCUAUACCUAAUGUUGAAGUAAUAUGAAUUUGGUAUUUGAUUUCUGUACAUCCUUUCUAGGUCUUGUCGGUUAUAAAAUUGAGAACAUGAAUAGUGAAGAUACGGCUGAUGUUUUAUCUCUUCUUUCAAGUAUUCAAAUGAAGAUACUUAUUCUGUACUUUUACAUGUUGCUGUAGGUUUGCUUUCUCAGAGUUACUAUUCAAAUAACCCAUAUGCUGAUCAUACAACAAACUGUUAGUUCUACAUAAACUGGGGGGUAAUAGCUUUGUUUGGCAUUUAGACAGCUAACUGUUGGCAUCAAGAACUUUGGUGGGCAUACACAUUAAAUUUUUGAACGGGAAAUCUGAGGUUGAUUAGAGUCAGUUGAGUGAAGUCAGCAACUGCAAUUUUAAGACUUUCGAGGAGUCACUAUGAGUAUAUAACGGGAUAUAUGGCAUUUGAUGUUAAAACAUAAAAAAGAAGCCCAUGACUCAUGCUGGUCAUUGAAGUUAUGUGUCGAUGCUUUUCUGUAUGUGCAUUAAACUUGGUGACUAGAUAUGUUGUUUUGGAAAAUAUAUGUUGUUUUCUUGGGAGGAACUUGCAGGAUGAUCAUUGAUAGAUAGGGCCUGCACCAGAAAUUUUGUGUUUCGGAGAGAUGAAUGAUAAUUUAUAUCUUUAAGACAAGGAUUUGAUCGUUUGUUACAACAACCUUUGAUUUAUAAGGAAGGUGCAGAAGGCAGAGUUGGAAUUCUGCUUUACUGUUCAUGUAAGGUUACUAAUGUUACAACAUUAGGAACUCCAGUUCUGUGGCACAGGAAGGUGAGUUCGAUGGAUGAUUCAUUCAUUUAGCAAACUGCUCGUUGAUUCCAUGGCGUUUGUUGAGAUCAGGAAUUAGUUGCUUUGGCAACCUUUGUUUGAGAGACUGCUUUGGCAACAGUCUGAUUUCUCCCAAGUUUUGGAUAUAUUAAGAGAUAUACGCUACAUUAUUGCAAGUUUUCUUUAUAUUUGUGAUAUGAUUUCACUUGUAUAUGAGAGUGAUCACCGUUCGCAUUUCA